RNAcentral lists this non-coding RNA (204 nucleotides) under Mycoplasmatota bacterium. RNAcentral's name for it is "Tenericutes bacterium T-box sequence". It matches the Rfam family "T-box leader". From Rfam's summary of the family: Uncharged tRNA acts as the effector for transcription antitermination of genes in the T-box leader family. Lineage: Bacteria; Bacillati; Mycoplasmatota. The record is from RNAcentral.
UCAAAUACAGUGAAGUGGAAUAGUAAUCAAAAACAAAAGAAUAGAGAGUAAACGGUUGGUGGAAGUUUAUCUUUUGUCUUGAUGAAGGUAGCCAUGGAGUAGUUUAGGUGAAACUAAGUAGCUUAAAUCGUAUUGCUCGCGUUAAGAGUUUUGAGUGCUUAUUUUAUAAGAAUAAAGGUGGUACCGCGUUUAAUCGUCCUUUUU